GGGAUCAUUACACAAAUAUGAAGGCGGGCUGGAACCUCUCGGGGUUACAGCCUUGCUGAAUUAUUCACCCUUGUCUUUUGCGUACUUCUUGUUUCCUUGGUGGGUUCGCCCACCACUAGGACAAACAUAAACCUUUUGUAAUUGCAAUCAGCGUCAGUAACAAAUUAAUAAUUACAACUUUCAACAACGGAUCUCUUGGUUCUGGCAUCGAUGAAGAACGCAGCGAAAUGCGAUAAGUAGUGUGAAUUGCAGAAUUCAGUGAAUCAUCGAAUCUUUGAACGCACAUUGCGCCCUUUGGUAUUCCAAAGGGCAUGCCUGUUCGAGCGUCAUUUGUACCCUCAAGCUUUGCUUGGUGUUGGGCGUCUUGUCUCUAGCUUUGCUGGAGACUCGCCUUAAAGUAAUUGGCAGCCGGCCUACUGGUUUCGGAGCGCAGCACAAGUCGCACUCUCUAUCAGCAAAGGUCUAGCAUCCAUUAAGCCUUUUUUUCAACUUUUGACCUCGGAUCAGGUAGGGAUACCCGCUGAACUUAAGC
RNAcentral lists this ribosomal RNA (532 nucleotides) under uncultured Alternaria. Its description in RNAcentral is "eukaryotic LSU rRNA". The stretch from base 176 to 329 matches the Rfam family "5.8S ribosomal RNA". The record is from RNAcentral. Lineage: Eukaryota; Fungi; Ascomycota; Dothideomycetes; Pleosporales; Pleosporaceae.